AGUUGCAACUUGAAACAAUGAAGAAUAUUCUCUGUCUCCAUAGAUAUGCUUCAUUCCCAUCCUUGCUAAAUUUGAAGUUUGCAUUGAAACCUCUGAGGCCAUUUUUUUUUUGCUUGCCCAUGAUUCACAGUGAGUUACGAAACUACAACUGUUAUGUAGCUGCAGACAUAUACACGUUUGACCCAACUUUGUAAAUAAAUAUUGUGUUUAGGACUGUUCAAAAAAUCUACGAACUGAACCGAACCGCUAAACUGAACUGAACUGAAGUUAAAAUAACCAAACCAUUAUAUUUGGUUAGUGAACCGAACCGCUAUUUUAUUAACGGUUCUAGAACCAAACCAAAUUAAAACUAACCAAACAUAAACUUUGAACCAUUAAUUUUAAAAGAUCAAUAUUUGAACUAUACUACUAUAGUGUCAUAUAUCCUCGAACAGAAACCAUCGUGAAAACCAAAACACCAAAAACUGAACUCAAAUUGUUGAAGCUACUAAGAACCCUAAAUUCCCAAAUCGUUGAAGCUCCAAAGAUGAAGAACCCUAAAUUCCCAAAUCGUUGAAGUUGCGUUUCCCUUUCUCAGUCGCAUUUUCAUCUUCAUUACCUAAUCGCAAGCUCCGCACGGCGUCGUCGUUCCCCUCCAGUUCAGCUUUCAGCCAUCUCUUCUAUACUGUGUUGAUUUUCAUCUGUUCAUAACCCAAACUAUAAAGGGUUUCUUCUUUUUUUGUGCUUGGAUUCUCUUUUAUUGGGUUAAGAGUGUAUAUUUUGUAUCAUAUUUGUGUUUGGUUACUGUGAUUUUGAAGGUGUUUUUCAACACCCAAAUUUGAUUUAUUUGUUUAGGUUUUGUUGGUCAAUUUGUGAUGUUUCUGUAAAAGGGUAUUCUUUUGCUAGCUCUGUAAAAAGGUGCAAGUUAUUCAAUUAAAGUUGACUUUAAUUUUUUGAUUGGAGAUACAGCUUAAUUAAUUAAGCGCUUAUAGCACGAUCAUGCUUCAUGUCAGUGCUAGUUUUUAGUUAAUUGUAUAACAAAAGAUGAAGUAAACAUUUUUUAGGAAAAAGCUACAAGCUGUUUUAGUGAGUCAUCUUGUAGAGCUUAUGAAAAUAAUCUAAAAGCAAGUUAUGGACAUGUCAAAUGCUUUUUCCUUGAGCUCUUUGAAAUUGCUUUGUUAUUCUUAUAGAACUCUCAACUUCAAUUUAUUGAUGUUUAUUUUUCCCUUAAGUGUUUGACUUGCAUACACCUGCUAGUUUUGAACUUCCUUGAUACAUCUAGGCUGUUUAGAAUCAUUCAUUUCAAGCAGUGCACAACAUUUGCAUUAAUUUUUGUUGUCAGUUUAAUCUAUUUGAAAUUUGCAAUGUACUUUCUGUUUGUGCCAGACUGCUAAAUUUAUGUUUUACAUCUAGGUAUUCCUUCUCUGCUUUUUCAUUUAUGGAUUGCAUCCUAGUAGUUAUAUUAAAUCUGAUUGAAUAAACUAAUUAGUGUUAGCAGGUUAGUGUAGAAGGAACAGAAGGGGCAGUUAGUGUAGAAGGAACCUUGGCUGGAAUUCUUGCAGCUCUAGUUCUUGCCUUUUUCAGUUUUCUCCUGGGCGAGAGAUAACAUCUCCGACAUCGGUAAAUCUUGAUGAUGAUGAAGACUUUGCAAGUUAAAAGAGUUUCAGAAGACCCUAGUUUAAUUUUAGUUGAUUAUGAUUUAAGAACUAGUUCGAAUGAAUUUUUGUUUAAGAAAUGGUUCGAUUGAAUUUUGGUUUAACAAAAGUUGUAUUUAGAUACUAGGAUUGACUUUUCCGAGCUUAUCUACUGAUAUAAGUUCUGUGACACUGUUUGCGAGACUUUUUCGAGCUUAUCUACUGAUAUAAGUUUUGUGA
This is a long non-coding RNA of Vicia villosa (hairy vetch), 1853 nucleotides long. RefSeq lists it as uncharacterized. The transcript is spliced from 2 exons. Lineage: Eukaryota; Viridiplantae; Streptophyta; Magnoliopsida; Fabales; Fabaceae. The record is from RefSeq and is a predicted model, not a curated record.